UUGGAGGGCAAGUCUGGUGCCAGCAGCCGCGGUAAUUCCAGCUCCAAUAGCGUAUAUUAAAGUUGUUGCAGUUAAAAAGCUCGUAGUUGAAUUUCGGGGUUAGUAGGUUGGUCAUGCCUCUGGUAUGCACUGGUCUCACUGAUUCCUCCUUCCUGAUGAGCCGUAAUGCCAUUAAUUUGGUGUUGCGGGGAAUUUGGACUGUUACUUUGAAAAAAUUAGAGUGUUUAAAGCAGACUAUCGUCUGAAUACAUUAGCAUGGAAUAAUGAAAUAGGACGGACUGAUUCUAUUUCGUUGGUUUCUAGGAUCACCGUAAUGAUUAAUAGGGAUAGUUGGGGGCAUUAGUAUUCAAUUGUCAGAGGUGAAAUUCUUGGAUUUAUUGAAGACUAACUACUGCGAAAGCAUUUGCCAAGGAUGUUUUCAUUAAUCAAGAACGAAAGUUAGGGGAUCGAAGACGAUCAGAUACCGUCGUAGUCUUAACCAUAAACUAUGCCGACUAGGGAUCGGACGAUGUUAAUUUUUUAAUGACUCGUUCGGCGCCUUACGGGAAAC
Molecule: ribosomal RNA, 550 nt
Filed under: uncultured Glomeraceae
Lineage: Eukaryota; Fungi; Glomeromycota; Glomeromycetes; Glomerales; Glomeraceae
Description: SSU rRNA
Rfam family: Eukaryotic small subunit ribosomal RNA
Source: RNAcentral